Molecule: ribosomal RNA, 253 nt
Filed under: uncultured bacterium
Lineage: Bacteria
Description: partial 16S ribosomal RNA
Rfam family: Bacterial small subunit ribosomal RNA
Source: RNAcentral
UACGUAGGGUGCGAGCGUUAAUCGGAAUUACUGGGCGUAAAGCGUGCGCAGGCGGUUAUGUAAGACAGAUGUGAAAUGCCCGGGCUUAACCUGGGGACUGCAUUUGUGACUGCAUGGCUAGAGUGUGUCAGAGGGGGGUAGAAUUCCACGUGUAGCAGUGAAAUGCGUAGAGAUGUGGAGGAAUACCGAUGGCGAAGGCAGCCCCCUGGGUCGACACUGACGCUCAUGCACGAAAGCGUGGGGAGCAAACAGG